RNAcentral lists this ribosomal RNA (478 nucleotides) under uncultured bacterium. Its description in RNAcentral is "partial 16S ribosomal RNA". It matches the Rfam family "Bacterial small subunit ribosomal RNA", at positions 28 to 507 of the family's 1533-position model. The record is from RNAcentral.
GAUGAACGCUGGCGGCGUGCUUAACACAUGCAAGUCGAACGGGAAACCUUUUAUUGAAGCUUCGGCAGAUUUAGCUGGUUUCUAGUGGCGGACGGGUGAGUAACGCGUGGGUAACCUGCCUUAUACAGGGGGAUAACAACCAGAAAUGGUUGCUAAUACCGCAUAAGCGCACAGGACCGCAUGGUCCGGUGUGAAAAACUCCGGUGGUAUAAGAUGGACCCGCGUUGGAUUAGCUAGUUGGCAGGGUAACGGCCUACCAAGGCGACGAUCCAUAGCCGGCCUGAGAGGGUGACCGGCCACAUUGGGACUGAGACACGGCCCAGACUCCUACGGGAGGCAGCAGUGGGGAAUAUUGCACAAUGGGGGAAACCCUGAUGCAGCGACGCCGCGUGAAGGAAGAAGUAUCUCGGUAUGUAAACUUCUAUCAGCAGGGAAGAUAGUGACGGUACCUGACUAAGAAGCCCCGGCUAACUACGUG